GACGAACGCUGGCGGCGUGCCUAAUACAUGCAAGUAGAACGCACAGUUUAUACCGUAGCUUGCCACACCAUAGACUGUGAGUUGCGAACGGGUGAGUAACGCGUAGGUAACCUGCCUGGUAGCGGGGGAUAACUAUUGGAAACGAUAGCUAAUACCGCAUAAUAUUAAUUAUUGCAUGAUAAUUGAUUGAAAGAUGCAACUGCAUCACUACCAGAUGGACCUGCGUUGUAUUAGCUAGUAGGUGAGGUAACGGCUCACCUAGGCGACGAUACAUAGCCGACCUGAGGGUGAUCGGCCACACUGGGACUGAGACACGGCCCAGACUCCUACGGGAGGCAGCAGUAGGGAAUCUUCGGCAAUGGACGAAAGUCUGACCGAGCAACGCCGCGUGAGUGAAGAAGGUUUUCGGAUCGUAAAGCUCUGUUGUAAGAGAAGAACGGGUGUGAGAGUGGAAAGUUCACACUGUGACGGUAUCUUACCAGAAAGGGACGGCUAACUACGUG
RNAcentral lists this ribosomal RNA (503 nucleotides) under uncultured bacterium. RNAcentral describes it as "partial 16S ribosomal RNA". It matches the Rfam family "Bacterial small subunit ribosomal RNA", at positions 28 to 507 of the family's 1533-position model. The record is from RNAcentral.